UACGUAGGGGGCAAGCGUUGUCCGGAUUUAUUGGGCGUAAAGAGCGUGUAGGCGGCCAGGGAGGUCCGUUGUGAAAACUCGAGGCUCAACCUCGAGACGCCGAUGGAAACCCCCUGGCUAGAGUCCGGAAGAGGAGAGUGGAAUUCCUGGUGUAGCGGUGAAAUGCGCAGAUACCAGGAAGAACACCCGUGGCUAAGGCGGCUCUCUAGUACGGUACUGACGCUGAGACGCGAAAGCGUGGGGAGCGAACAGG
RNAcentral lists this ribosomal RNA (253 nucleotides) under uncultured bacterium. Its description in RNAcentral is "partial 16S ribosomal RNA". It matches the Rfam family "Bacterial small subunit ribosomal RNA", at positions 524 to 776 of the family's 1533-position model. The record is from RNAcentral.